Molecule: ribosomal RNA, 253 nt
Filed under: uncultured bacterium
Lineage: Bacteria
Description: partial 16S ribosomal RNA
Rfam family: Bacterial small subunit ribosomal RNA
Source: RNAcentral
UACGGGGGGGGCAAGCGUUGUUCGGAAUUACUGGGCGUAAAGGGUUUGUAGGUGGCUUGUUAAGUCAGACGUGAAAUCCCUCAGCUUAACUGGGGAACUGCGUCUGAGACUGGUGAGCUUGAGUGCAGGAGAGGAACGCGGAAUUCCAGGUGUAGCGGUGAAAUGCGUAGAUAUCUGGAGGAACACCGGUGGCGAAGGCGGGUCUCUGGGCCGAUACUGACGCUGAGGAGCGAAAGCGUGGGGAGCGAACAGG